AUCUCUCCCUCUCUCUCCCUCUCUCUCUCUCUCUCAUAACCACUCAGUCUGUCUCGGCCAAAACCGCUCAUUCUCUGUUCUCAGUGACGAAGAACAGUGAAGAACGACAGGUUGGCCUUGGUGAUGACCAACCGCGAUGGAGAACUGAGAUGGUAGUGACGAUGAACCGAGACAUUAGCACUGAACAGAGAUCAAUGGUGUGUAUCUGGUUUUACGGUUUUUUUGAGGGUUUGUUCUGAUUUUUGGAGUUCUACAAUCUUUUGUAAUUUUUGCUUCUUACUAUGCUAGAGUUUUCUUUUUUAUUUUGCAUUUUGCUUUAUGAUUUUGCAUCUUGCUUUGUUAGGGUUUGUUGAUUUUGCAUUUUGUUUUUGAAUUUUGGGCAUAAAACAGAUGAAAUCAUCAUGUUUUGUCUUGUUUUCUCGAAAGUUGUGUAGGAUAUGUGAGAUAGUGUUGUGGUUAGGCUUGGUUAAAAUUAUAUGUUGUAUAUUUGAACCAGAAAGUUAAUGUGUUUUGUUGAGGUUAAUACUUCCAUUCCUUAUAGUACUUUAGUUCUUUUUUAGGAUAAUUUUGCAAAACUUUAGCAUGGAAUUGAAACAGUUUUGGACUAAUUUAACAUACAAUCGAUGGGCAAAAAAAUUGUCUUAGCUUAGCUGUUUCAGCAGCAAAUUGCUGUAGUCUUGGCUAAGAAAUUUUUAAUUGGUGAUUGCUAUGCAUGCUACUUUUAUUGUUUCAAAUCUAAAUUUUAAUACGAGUUUCAUCUAUUUUGUUGUUUGGAAUAGUAUGAUGAUCAUAUAUAUUUUAGUAUUUUAACUCAGUUGCUGAUGUUAUUAUUUUGGUUUAAUUAAUUUCUAUUUACACCUUUCUUUUGUGCAAAUAAAUACCACUGCUUGAUGACCUUUGAGAAUGAUUAAAGUUAAGAAAUAAAACUAGCUAGAAAAGGGGCUAAGAAAUCAAAAGCUAGUUGCACCUUUGAAAGACCUUUUUUUUUAAACUUCUUAGAAGUGCAAGUAUUUUUGCGGCAGCCCCGCUGACCUCCACUUCCUCAUUGGUGGCAGUUUUUCCUUCUAGUAUAGCAUGUGUUUCUGUUACUUUUUCUUUUCUUAAGUUUAUUAAUCCUCUGCUAGGUUAAGUUAACUUCUUAAGAUGCCAAUAUAGUGAGAUCUUUGUUCUUGUUGUUUACUUUGUUAGUUGUUGUUUGGGGAUUGGGGUAUUUUUUGAGGGUAAAGAGAAGAGAAGAGAAGAGAAGAGAAGAGAUGUUGAACAUUAAGAGGGUUUUCAAUGCUGUUUCGAAUUAUCAAAAAAGAGGAGGGGGAGAGGCUACUCACCCUGUAGGAGGAUGUGGUUACAGUUGCCCAAAAACUGCUGCAUUCAAGUACCGUACUACCGAUUAUGUCACUGAUAAUGCUGCUUGAUGUUCGUGUCACUGCUGGUGUUGCUGGCUAUUCGGUAGCUGCUAUAGCUCCUGGUGUUGGAUUAUUGCCACUCUCAAGGAAUAAUGCAUUUGGAUGCAAUGUCACUUAAUGUAAUGGUUGACCCUAAGCAGCGCAAGCUUCAAUUCGCCUAAUAGAUUGGGAGCUUCCAGAGUUGUAUAAUAGACACAUUACUCUUCCUUAGUCAUUAAGCAUUUUAUAGAUACAUCUUUUAUUAUUGCUCUAGUGCUAUCCAUGUUCCUUUUCAUGGACGUUGGUCCAAAUUUUUUUCCAUUGAAUAAUUUUUAUUUAUUAAUGUUAUGAGUUUAGGUUACAAA
Arachis ipaensis is the source of this 1747-nucleotide non-coding RNA. The record is from RefSeq and is a predicted model, not a curated record. Lineage: Eukaryota; Viridiplantae; Streptophyta; Magnoliopsida; Fabales; Fabaceae.